RNAcentral lists this small nuclear RNA (107 nucleotides) under Procavia capensis (Cape rock hyrax). The record is from RNAcentral. Lineage: Eukaryota; Metazoa; Chordata; Mammalia; Hyracoidea; Procaviidae.
ACGCUUAGUUUAGCAGCCCAUAUACCAAAACUGGAAUGACACAGGGAAGAUUAGCAUGUCCCCUGUGCAAGGAUGACAUAUAGAUUCAUGGAAUAUUCCAUUAUUUU